Molecule: unclassified non-coding RNA, 89 nt
Filed under: Paucidesulfovibrio gracilis DSM 16080
Lineage: Bacteria; Pseudomonadati; Thermodesulfobacteriota; Desulfovibrionia; Desulfovibrionales; Desulfovibrionaceae
Description: Desulfovibrio gracilis DSM 16080 Bacillus-plasmid RNA
Source: RNAcentral
UCAGUCAACGGUAAAUCGAAUUAAAGGGACUUACUGCUUUAGCAGUUAGUCCCUUUUUGAGGCUUUAAGGAGUUGAUUGACUUACUAGA